RNAcentral lists this ribosomal RNA (268 nucleotides) under Klebsiella pneumoniae. RNAcentral describes it as "partial 23S ribosomal RNA". It matches the Rfam family "Bacterial large subunit ribosomal RNA", at positions 1131 to 1398 of the family's 2925-position model. The record is from RNAcentral. Lineage: Bacteria; Pseudomonadati; Pseudomonadota; Gammaproteobacteria; Enterobacterales; Enterobacteriaceae.
AGCGUAAUAGCUCACUGGUCGAGUCGGCCUGCGCGGAAGAUGUAACGGGGCUAAACCAUGCACCGAAGCUGCGGCAGCGACACUAUGUGUUGUUGGGUAGGGGAGCGUUCUGUAAGCCUGCGAAGGUGUGCUGUGAGGCAUGCUGGAGGUAUCAGAAGUGCGAAUGCUGACAUAAGUAACGAUAAAGCGGGUGAAAAGCCCGCUCGCCGGAAGACCAAGGGUUCCUGUCCAACGUUAAUCGGGGCAGGGUGAGUCGACCCCUAAGGCG